GGGGUGCUGGCGCAGUGGUAGCGCUCCUGAUUUUUACUCCUACUUGAUUGGAUUUUUUCAAUUCGAGAGGUGGUUGACUGGGGCUUAGUAGAUUAACGUCAGAUUGCCACGCACGUUUCUACUCGCAACAAAGCUUGUUUAACAAAGUAUGGCUUCAGACAAAAGGUCUCAAAGAAAACAGGGAAAUUUAGGAGGUCAUCGGUUCGAAUCCGGUGCACCCCG
RNAcentral lists this transfer RNA (222 nucleotides) under Pseudogymnoascus sp. VKM F-4513 (FW-928). It matches the Rfam family "tRNA". From Rfam's summary of the family: Transfer RNA (tRNA) molecules are approximately 80 nucleotides in length. Lineage: Eukaryota; Fungi; Ascomycota; Leotiomycetes; Thelebolales; Thelebolaceae. The record is from Rfam by way of RNAcentral.